This 254-nucleotide ribosomal RNA is filed under the name uncultured bacterium. RNAcentral's name for it is "partial 16S ribosomal RNA". It matches the Rfam family "Bacterial small subunit ribosomal RNA", at positions 523 to 776 of the family's 1533-position model. The record is from RNAcentral.
UAGCGUAGGGUGCAAGCGUUGUCCGGAAUUAUUGGGCGUAAAGAGCUCGUAGGCGGCUUGUCGCGUCGUCCGUGAAAUCCCGAGGCUCAACCUCGGGUCUGCAGUCGAUACGAGCAAACUAGAGUGUUGCAGGGGAGACUGGAAUUCCUGGUGUAGCGGUGAAAUGCGCAGAUAUCAGGAGGAACACCGGUGGCGAAGGCGGGUCUCUGGGCAACAACUGACGCUGAGGAGCGAAAGCGUGGGGAGCGAACAGG